ACUCCUGCGGGAGGCAGCAGUGGGGAAUAUUGCACAAUGGGCGCAAGCCUGAUGCAGCCAUGCCGCGUGUAUGAAGAAGGCCUUCGGGUUGUAAAGUACUUUCAGCGGGGAGGAAGGCGAUAAGGUUAAUAACCUUGUCGAUUGACGUUACCCGCAGAAGAAGCACCGGCUAACUCCGUGCCAGCAGCCGCGGUAAUACGGAGGGUGCAAGCGUUAAUCGGAAUUACUGGGCGUAAAGCGCACGCAGGCGGUCUGUCAAGUCGGAUGUGAAAUCCCCGGGCUCAACCUGGGAACUGCAUUCGAAACUGGCAGGCUAGAGUCUUGUAGAGGGGGGUAGAAUUCCAGGUGUAGCGGUGAAAUGCGUAGAGAUCUGGAGGAAUACCGGUGGCGAAGGCGGCCCCCUGGACAAAGACUGACGCUCAGGUGCGAAAGCGUGGGGAGCAAACAGGAUUAGAUACCCGUGUAGUCCCAU
Molecule: ribosomal RNA, 472 nt
Filed under: uncultured organism
Description: partial 16S ribosomal RNA
Rfam family: Bacterial small subunit ribosomal RNA
Source: RNAcentral